GUAUUCACUUGGGCAGUACAUAUACUAAAAUUGUACAGAUAAAGGGAAGACUGGCAUGAUUCCAGCACAAGGCUGACACAUAAAUUCGUGACACAUGGUGAUAUAUU
Molecule: small nuclear RNA, 107 nt
Filed under: Sorex araneus (European shrew)
Lineage: Eukaryota; Metazoa; Chordata; Mammalia; Eulipotyphla; Soricidae
Source: RNAcentral